RNAcentral lists this long non-coding RNA (2704 nucleotides) under Nicotiana benthamiana. Its description in RNAcentral is "long non-coding RNA (NBEN_LNC040589)". The record is from RNAcentral. Lineage: Eukaryota; Viridiplantae; Streptophyta; Magnoliopsida; Solanales; Solanaceae.
CUGAUAAUAGGUUGUGCACUUACUAUGGUCAAACUGUUCAUUACAAGGACUCUUGUAAAGUUAAAAAUCAGCCUUUGCGGAAAAAUAAAGUCAUUGUUUAAAAAAGGCAUACUAAUGAGAAACCCGGUUCUCUGAAAAGAAAAUAUGUGCUGCCUGCAUGGGCAAAAAGAAGUUUGAUCCGCCCGCUCUAUUAAGGGACCCAAGUUGGCUUGGAUUCUUAAGUCUAAUCAUUGACUUACGUGUGCAGGGAAAAGUGAAAAGGAGCAGUCAAUAGUGGCAUAUGGAUAGCGACUGCUCAAAGCUCAUGACUGGAAGAACAAAUGAUUUCCUUUUACCGAAAGCCAUGCAUGGAGGUAAUGGAUCCUUUGAAAAUGAAAGAUGGGGUACAUUCUCGGUGUCUGAAAGGUUAGAAAGUCUUUCAAAUCUUUGAUAAAGGGAACAAAGUAGAGUUCUUGUCUAAAGUGUGCACAAUUACUAAUCUAGUAACUGGCGAAGUGGUCUGGAAACCAAAAGAUGUAAGAAUAUCUACGUUGCUGAUUUUGAGUCUCUACAAGCUGGUGAUAUGAGCUGCUUGAAGAAGGACCUGGUUCGUGGUCUAUCAAAUUCAAAUUUCAAGGAGCACAGAGUGUGUGAUGCAUGUACUAAGGGAAAUACUUGAUGUUUCAAAUGGCAAGGCUAAUAUGAUGAUUCAGAUGAAGGAGGCAAGUGAAGACAAUGUCACAUCCUCUUCCGUUUCUCAAGAGGAACCUAGUACCCCAAUUACUACCACUGAAGUUGAAGAUGUAAUAUUAGGAACUCCUGAUGGUGAACAGAAUAGUGGAAGUUAUAAUUAUGUUAAUGUCAAUGAUGAUUCACAUAUGGAAGAACCUGGUCCUUCAAAUUCUGAAGUUCAAGUAUCCAACUAAAAGCAAAAAAGUUCACAUCCCUUCAAAAUGUAAUGACAUCCUUAGACUCUGGUAUUCAACCUAGUUCUAAAGUAAGGAACAUGUUUUCCGUCUUAGCAUUCUUGCCUUAGAUCAAGCCUAAGAACAUCAAAGAAGCAUUGAAAAUGCUAACUGGAUAGCCGCUAUGUAAGAAAAAGUCCAUCAGUUGAGAGGAAUCAAAUGUGGCCCUUGGUCCCUAGGCCUUCAUAUAGAAUAGUGAUUGGAACCUGGCCCAAAACACUCUCACUUGAAGGGUGCCAAGGGAAGUUUGAGGUACCCUAAGGGAAUGAAGAACCCGGUCCCCUUCUAGUGUUCAGGAGAUUCUUUUAAUUUGGUUGGAUAUGUUGAUGCUGAUUAUGCUGAAUAUCUGGGUGACAAAAAGGCACUUCUGGAACGACACAUUUUCCAGGGUACAAAGAAACAAACUGUUUGCUCCUUCUACUACUGAAGCUGAAUACGUGGUUGCUGCUUCUUGUGUGCUCAAAUAGUAUAGAUCAGGCAACAUCUUGAAGACUUUGGUGUAUUUACGGCUUGAACCUGGUACAAUACAAGAGGAUAAAUCACAUUGAUGUCAAACACCAAUUUCUUGGGGACAAUGUUGAAAAGAUUCUGAUUUGUAUGAAUUUUUGGAAGACGUAGCAGACAUCUUCACCAAGUUGAUAAGUAGGGAACAUCUUGAAAGAAAUAUUCUGGAGUUGGGGUUGAUCAUGCUCAACUACGGACCCGAUCCCUUAAUGUUUGGCUAUGUUAAGUAGGAAAGAUACAAUGCUAAAAAGUAAUUUAUGGUGACAUCUAACUCAAAUCUAUACCAUUAUAUGUAUACACAUAUGGCAGUUUCAGGACACAAACAAGUAAGAGUGACUUUGCACUUCUAGGAGUCCUUGCUCAAAAGUUUCCAAAAUCGUCAUGAAACCUGGUUUCUGUGACUCAGGUUAAUAGUCUCUUCAAUACUUAUAUGCCUUUUUAAGCUGCUGAAGUGUCUUGUCAUUAAUUUUUCCCCCUUUCCUGCCUCUCCUCCUAACUUUUGAAGUCCAAAAUGUUAAACCUUUUAUGAAUUGACCGGUUUCCCCAAAAAGACACUUCUUUAUCUUACACCCAAAUAAAACCGAUUCUUUUCUUCAAAACCAAAAUCAGCCUUGUCUAAAAAAAAUCCUUCUUUCCAAAUAUGCCAGAAGUGAACAACUCUCUCACUUUCUAAAGACCUAACUCUAUCAGAAUCAAAUUCCUAAGACUUCUUUAGUAGAUUUUGAUGGAAGCUUUGAAAGGGAACAUGGUAAAUCUCAUAUUCUAGAGCGUGAGGCUGAAGUUGUUGCUGGAUUUGUGAAAGCCUUGAAGGAUGGAGAAAUUGGUAAAUAUGAGGACUGAUUGAGGGAUCCCUCAAGUCCUUCUUAUUAAGUCAAUUUUAAUGAUGAUAUUUUUCUCUUUGAGUUAUGUGUAUAAAUGAUCGUCUGAUACAGUAAAAAGGGAUUUAUGAAAAGUAGACUGAUAGAUGAUGAAGUGGUGUGACCAGUUCCCUGUGAAAAAGAAAUAAAAAAAACAAAAAAACAAAAAAUAGGGGGUUAGCUGAGAAAGAUGCAGUAGAUAAUAAGGGUAAACAGAUUGCGAAGAAGAAGAGGGAGAGAUGGCUGCUCAGGGAUAGAAAGGGUAGUGUAAGUGAGGAACCUGGUUCCUUACAGAAGCAAAAGGUUGGGCCAUUAGGUUUGGAGGGAGAAGACCUUGAAGUCUCAAAAAGUGCAAUAAGGCAGAAUGUUGACUCUAUUAUUGCUGAAAGAAUGAUUUUU